This 105-nucleotide small RNA is filed under the name Pseudomonas fulva. Its description in RNAcentral is "Guanidine-I sequence". It matches the Rfam family "Guanidine-I riboswitch aptamer". Rfam says of the family: This family represents a conserved RNA structure found upstream of the ykkC and yxkD genes in Bacillus subtilis and related genes in other bacteria. The function of this family is unclear although it has been suggested that it may function to switch on efflux pumps and detoxification systems in response to harmful environmental molecules. The record is from RNAcentral. RNAcentral also lists the same sequence under 1 other name. Lineage: Bacteria; Pseudomonadati; Pseudomonadota; Gammaproteobacteria; Pseudomonadales; Pseudomonadaceae.
CAAAUAGCCGACUAGGGUUCCGGUUCGCCAGUAACGGCGGAUGACUGGUCCGAGAGUUGGCGACCUCCUCGAGAGGUUACACGGCGGGACAAAAGCCCGGGAGAA